AUGGCUCCUACCGAGGCUGAGGCUGAUGUAGAGGAGGGAGAAGAGAAGAAGAAGAAGGAAAGGAAAGCAUCCGGAGCUGCUUUCACGUGGAUUCAAACUCACUUUGCGACGUGCCCUCCGGAUGCCACUGAUGACGUGAUCCCGACACAUGCUCGUGUCUACAUGUGGUAUGUUGUGUCGAGGACUUUGUUUCCUGACUCCACUGGCAAGAACGCUCCAUGGAUGUGGCUGAAGGCGUUGACCGUCUUCCAUAGCAAAUGGAGCUGGGGUUCAGCGACUCUUGCCUACUUGUACCGACAGGUAGUUGGUCUGUUUUGUGAUCAACUCAUUUCUUCAUUAGCAAUGCAAGCUUGCUGUCAAGUUAACAUUGUUUUUCUUUCAUAUGCAGGUGGAUGA
This 396-nucleotide ribosomal RNA is filed under the name Triticum aestivum (bread wheat). RNAcentral describes it as "partial small subunit ribosomal RNA". Lineage: Eukaryota; Viridiplantae; Streptophyta; Magnoliopsida; Poales; Poaceae. The record is from RNAcentral.